AGUCACGUGUGGAGGCAGGAAGUUGAGGUCACGAGGGCUGGUCAACUUCCUGUCUGAGCUCUGAUUGGGUAAAACCGACUCCGGGAGGCGGGCUCUGUGGACGGAUAGGGUCCUGAGCAAAUCUGACGAGAAGAUGCCGGGGAUAGCGGGAGAGGAUGUGGAGCGGUGCUAGGAAAAAGGCGGGAGUAAGACGUUGGCAAACAGGAGGAGCCCAGCUGAUCCUGUUUCUGCUAAGGAACCCAUUGAAGUGUUUCCUAACGAGAAGAUGGGGAAUAAUGUAAGAAAUACUGGCAAGAGGUCAGAGAGAUGACUCAGCACUUAACAGCACUGCCUGCUCUUCCAGGGGACCCAGGUUCAGUUUCCAGCACCCACAUAGCAGCUCAUGCCUCUAACUCCAUUUCCAGGGAAACCUCAGUGGAGUCUUCUUCGUGGGCUGAAGAAGCAAGAUAUCACGCUCGGCUCAGCUCCAAGACUCACAUAUCCUGAAGGAUGUGUGUGGCUCAGAGAUAGGUCUCAAAAGAACUUGCCAAAGCAACAUAUGCCAUGGUAGAACCAUUUGUACGUGGCUGAAGAGGAAAGGAAGAAUCUGGCGGGGGAAGAUGGAAACUCUGUGCAUCAGAGUUAAAAUCAUGGGGUCUCACGACAAAGAGGAUGGAGACGGUGUGGAAGGCAGUUUAAGGCUGCAAAGCUUUCUCCAUCAUCAGCCAGAAGCACAGCACAUAUGCACUGAAGCUGACAUGGCUAACACGCUAAGCUUGCCACUAAAAAUCUAUUAUUGUGUGUGGUCUGUAAUUAAGCCCAAGAAGACACCCAGCAGUGCAUACAUAGCAAUGAGCAGAUGCAGUGUGGUUAUUUAUAGCACGAUGCUUUGGGGAAAGCUGGUGGUGGACACAUUUAGAUGACAUUUAUAUAGUUAUACAAAUAGAGGCUUGAUUUUGGUCUGUCUUCAGAUUUAGGGCUCUGGUGGCAAAUGCUGAAGUAAUUGGCUCUUUUGGACAACGUUGUGCAAUCAUUUAACCUCAUAGGGCCCUUGUAGCCUGGUAGGUUUUAUGGGGAACCAAAACAAGACAGAGUUCUUCAGUAGACUAUAAACACAGAAUCACUUGCAAUGACUUCAUUCUGACAUUAAGAAAUACAGUACCUUUAAAGUUUCACCUC
This is a long non-coding RNA of Alexandromys fortis (reed vole), 1158 nucleotides long. RefSeq lists it as uncharacterized. The transcript has 3 exons. The record is from RefSeq and is a predicted model, not a curated record. NCBI's taxonomy places the organism in Eukaryota, Metazoa, Chordata, Mammalia, Rodentia, Cricetidae.